GACAGAGGGUGCAAACGUUGUUCGGAAUCACUGGGCGUAAAGCGCGUGUAGGCGGCUUGGCAAGUCGGGUGUGAAAUCCCAGGGCUCAACCCUGGAAGUGCAUUCGAAACUGCCUAGCUAGAGUUCUGGAGAGGAAGGUGGAAUGCUUGGUGUAGAGGUGAAAUUCGUAGAUAUCAAGCGGAACACCGGUGGCGAAGGCGGCCUUCUGGACAGAAACUGACGCUGAGACGCGAAAGCGUGGGGAGCAAACAGG
RNAcentral lists this unclassified non-coding RNA (253 nucleotides) under uncultured Myxococcales bacterium. RNAcentral describes it as "contains 16S-23S intergenic spacer region". It matches the Rfam family "Bacterial small subunit ribosomal RNA", at positions 524 to 776 of the family's 1533-position model. Lineage: Bacteria; Pseudomonadati; Myxococcota; Myxococcia; Myxococcales. The record is from RNAcentral.